RNAcentral lists this transfer RNA (72 nucleotides) under Diabrotica virgifera virgifera (western corn rootworm). RNAcentral's name for it is "transfer RNA phenylalanine (anticodon GAA)". It matches the Rfam family "tRNA". From Rfam's summary of the family: Transfer RNA (tRNA) molecules are approximately 80 nucleotides in length. Lineage: Eukaryota; Metazoa; Arthropoda; Insecta; Coleoptera; Chrysomelidae. The record is from Rfam by way of RNAcentral.
GGGAGUAUAGCUCAGUGGUAGAGCGUUCGACUGAAGAUCGAGAGGUCCCCGGUUCGAACCCUUGUAUUUUCU